UGCAGUCGAACGGCAGCGCGGGGCAACCUGGCGGCGAGUGGCGAACGGGUGAGUAAUAUAUCGGAACGUACCCUGGAGUGGGGGAUAACGUAGCGAAAGUUACGCUAAUACCGCAUACGAUCUAAGGAUGAAAGUGGGGGAUUCGCAAGAACCUCAUGCUCCUGGAGCGGCCGAUAUCUGAUUAGCUAGUUGGUAGGGUAAAAGCCUACCAAGGCUUCGAUCAGUAGCUGGUCUGAGAGGACGACCAGCCACACUGGAACUGAGACACGGUCCAGACUCCUACGGGAGGCAGCAGUGGGGAAUUUUGGACAAUGGGCGCAAGCCUGAUCCAGCAAUGCCGCGUGAGUGAAGAAGGCCUUCGGGUUGUAAAGCUCUUUUGUCAGGGAAGAAACGGUGAGAGCUAAUAUCUCUUGCUAAUGACGGUACCUGAAGAAUAAGCACCGGCUAACUACGUGCC
This 457-nucleotide ribosomal RNA is filed under the name Massilia sp. 8-F94A. RNAcentral's name for it is "bacterial SSU rRNA". It matches the Rfam family "Bacterial small subunit ribosomal RNA", at positions 56 to 509 of the family's 1533-position model. Lineage: Bacteria; Pseudomonadati; Pseudomonadota; Betaproteobacteria; Burkholderiales; Oxalobacteraceae. The record is from RNAcentral.